This 1002-nucleotide ribosomal RNA is filed under the name Triticum aestivum (bread wheat). RNAcentral describes it as "partial small subunit ribosomal RNA". The record is from RNAcentral. Lineage: Eukaryota; Viridiplantae; Streptophyta; Magnoliopsida; Poales; Poaceae.
AUGGCAAGGUACCAGCGAUCAUGGUCUGACAUACCACCAGAGCUUGCUGCCCUGGUCCUCCUCCGCCUCCAUGCCCACUCUGACCGUGUCCGUUUCGCAGCUGUAUGCCGCGAUUGGCGCGCCUGCGCAAGGCAGCAUCAGCUGCCCCCGCCUUUGCCCUGGUUCAUACUCCCUGGUGGAACCUUCUUCACCUUACCCCACAGUGAAUCCUUCCUGAUCCCCAACGGUGUCGAAUUCCACAGUUCCUGCGGUGAGUGGCUUGUCUUUGCACGUGACGACAUCUGCUACCUCGUAGACACCUUCUCUAAGGUCACCUUGAAGCUCCCUGACCUAGACAUGUACGACCGCAUCGAGGAGCCUGACGAAGUUAUCAAUGGUCACAGCAUGUGCUACAUUUGUCUGGACGUGGAUGUAACCAUGUCAAUAUACAAGGUAAUCGUGUGCUCAGUGCUCCUUGUUGCUGCCAUCGUUGACAUCGGGGAUCUCCGCACUCUUGCGGUGUGCCGACCGGGAGGUAACCUAUGGUUUGUAAGUGCGCUUGGCUACGACAGGUCCUUUGACAUAAUUCUCCAUGGAGGCAAGUUGCUCACGGUUGAUGGAUGGAGGAACCUUUGCGUUAUCGAUGUCGAAGAGGACAGUGACAAUGGCAGCCUAUUCAUUUCCCGGAUCGAGCGCAUCAUCAAGGGUCCUCCCUGGCCCUUCAGGCAGUUCCCGGGUGGCCUCCUUGUAUUCGACCAAUACCUGGUUGAAUCUCAUGGCGCCCUGCUGCUGGUCCGUGGGACAAUCUAUGGCAAGCCACCUGAGGACAACCACACCGGGUUCGAGAUCAGGGCAGUACGGUUUGAAUUCGAGGUGUGUGAGGCAGACUUUCAGUCGUCGCAGUGGGUUGAGAGGAGGAGCGUGGGGGGACGACCAGGUGCUGUUUCUUGGGCCGAGAUGCUCCAAGUCUGUCUGUGCGCCCCAGUACAAUCUGAAGGGGAACUGCAUCUUCUUCCUGGAUGA